UGUCCUAAAUGCACACCUGUCAGAAGUGAGCGUAAAUCUGACCAGAGUCAUUAGAGGUAUGAAAGAUGGUGAACACGGAAUCACUUCAGUUGGGGGAGUUGCAAUGAAUGAGGUGCAGCCCUAUGAUGGAAGAAGCACAGACACUGAGAAUGACAUGAUGCUGAAGGACUUCUGGAGUCAUGCCUAGUUACAGACUCUCCAGCAACCAUAUUGUAAUGGCAUUCAUAAAUGCAUCAAGAUGGGUUUUCUCAAAUCAAAAACAAGUCUCACCACUCCUGGUUACAGGAAUCAGGAUUGAAAAUCUAUUAGAGCUCAUGAGCAACCAUCCUUGGGAGCCCCUCGUCUGCUGCCUGAUGGUUACACUGCUGCAAGAUUCAAGAACAUACUGUCUCACUUGUUCUGAUUCUGGCCUGGGUUGGUUUGUGCAAAUAUUAACGUUGGCUUUUCCCAUUCUCAGCCUGCCUCCUCAUAUGGAAGUUCAAAGCAGCCUUUAUUCCCAGGAUUUGUAUGUUCCUCCAGUUAUCACGACAUUUGGCCCUGCAAGAAAAUACUUUUUAACCUUCAUAAGAUGUUUGAUGGUUUUUAUUAAUGAAAUUCAAGAUGCUGGACGUGAUUUGAGAACUGCGUUGCAGUCCAUCAAAAUGCUAUUUUCCUAG
Molecule: long non-coding RNA, 656 nt
Filed under: Phasianus colchicus (ring-necked pheasant)
Lineage: Eukaryota; Metazoa; Chordata; Aves; Galliformes; Phasianidae
Description: lncRNA (ENSPCLG00000013038.1)
Source: RNAcentral